RNAcentral lists this long non-coding RNA (2271 nucleotides) under Sus scrofa (pig). RNAcentral's name for it is "lncRNA (ENSSSCG00060003581.1)". Lineage: Eukaryota; Metazoa; Chordata; Mammalia; Artiodactyla; Suidae. The record is from RNAcentral.
UUUUUUUUUUUUUUUUUUCAUCGUUUUGCCAUUUCUUGGGCCGCUCCUGCGGCAUAUGGAAGUUCCCAGGCUAGGGGUCUAAUCGGAGCUGUAGCCGCUGGCCUACUCCAGAGCCACAGCAACUCGGGUUCUGAGCCGCACCUGCAACCUACGCCAGAGCUCACGGCAACGCGCGAUCCUUAACCCACUGAGCAAGGCCAGGGAUCGAAACCACAACCUCAUGGUUCCUAGUCGGAUUCGUUAACCACUGAGCCAAGAUGGGAAGUCCCUAUUUUUUUAUCUUUUGUCUUUUUUAGGGCCGCACCCAUGGCAUAUGGAUUUUCCCAGGCUAGGGAUCUAAUCGGAGCUACAGCUGCUGGCCUACACCACAACCACAGCCACACCAGAUCCAAGACAAGUCUGUGACCCACACCACAGCUCAUGGGAAGGCCGGAUCCUUAACCCACUGAGCGAGGCCAGGGAUUGAACCUGCAACCUUGUGGCUCCUAGUUGGAUGCGUUAACCACUGAGUCAUGAUGGGAACUCCAUCUACUCUUUAUUUUUUAUUAAAAUUUUUUAGGAGUUCCCGUCGUGGCGCAGUGGUUAACGAAUCCGACUAGGAACCAUGAUGUUGAGGGUUCGGUCCCUGCCCUUGCUCAGUGGGUUGACGAUCCGGCGUUGCCGUGAGCUGUGGUGUAGGUUGCAGACGCGGCUCGGAUCCCGAGUUGCUGUGGCUCUGGAGUAGGCCGGCGGCUACAGCUCCGAUUCAACCCCUAGCCUGGGAACCUCCAUAUGCCUCGGGAGCGGCCCAAGAAAUAGCAACAACAACAACAACAACAACAAACAACAACAACAAAAAAAGACAAAAGACAAAAAAAAAAAAUGGGGGCGACUGUGAAGGAAUCCGAUCUUUCCAUCUUUGCCUUUUUCAUUCUUCUUUUUUUUUUUUUUUUUGCCUUUUCUAGUCACUGACUCCAUAUUCUAAGGGCUUCCAGUUGAGAUUUACUGAGAGGCAAUUUGCCAGUAUCUCUCACCUCUUUAUCAAAAAGUUCUUAAACAAGACAAACUUCAUCACACACCACUAAAGGCUCCCUUGCCCUUUUUCCAUUUAGUAUUUACUGAAGGACUCUUUAUUGACUACUUACUUUUGUUCUAACAAAGUCCCAGCCCAAAAGAGUGUCCAUUGCAGUGGUGGGAUACCCAGCAACAAGCAAUGUAUAAGAUAAGCCAAUAAAUAAUACGCGCAGAAGAAAAAUAAAGCAGAGUCAUACUGAGGCAGAAUCAUAACUCAGAUAGUGUAGGAGCAUGGGCUUUGAUGCAUUCUUUGAUAUGGUUAUGGAUUAACAUUUGUGGCUUAAGGGCUCCAGGGAAUAACAUCCCCACAGGCCUUGUUUGCUAUAGGGAGUGUAUCUGUGCCAAGAUGGACAUUAAUUUCUAACCCACUCCUCAACUAAUAGAAUAGGAAUGAGAGGAAUGGUGACUCCAUCUAAGGGAAGAGAAGGGCAAGGAAACCUCAAAACUUAUGGGACAUUUCCAUCCCUAAGAUAUUUCCAUCCCUUGGACAAGGACUGGAAUAGGUAACUUGGGCAAUGCCAAUGGGAGAAAACCACAUUUCUCUGGAGCCCACAAUGGGACCCCCUAUCUUUAAGGGAUAAAACUCCUAUAGAACAAUAGGGAAGGGGACUCUUCUUCCCCCUCCCAGCCUGUCCUGGGAGCUGUUUGUUUUCCUGUAAUGAAGACUUUGCUUGCUUGCUGCCUGUGUGUUCCCAAAGUUCGGUCUUUGGCUCUGUGAACAAGAAUCGGGAUUCUGGUAACAUCUUUAUGGCAUCAAUAGGACAGUGUGGUGGGAGUUGGCAGGCCUUUUCCAGGCCUUAGUGAAAACAGUAAUUAUUGUUUUCAUAUUUGUCCAACAGCUCUCUCAUUCUAUUGGCAACAGAUGUGGAAGCACUGAGGUGGCUGAUCUACAAUGUCUGCUUCUGCCAACCAACUCUGAGAUGGAAAGAGUACUAAUUAAACAAGACAGGUAAUCCUUAGACAAGACAGGUACAGUGAUUAAUGCAGCGUCUUGUACAUAGAACAUACUAAAUAAGGAGCCAUCAGAAAAAAUGGGAAGGAGAGGGGAGCUGCCCCUGGCAAAACCCAUCUCCUUUGCCCUAAUUUUAAUCUCUGCAUUGCUUGUGCUUUCUUCAGCCCAUAGCUUUAUGAGUAAUUGGCCCUUGAACUGGGAAGCUGCUUAGGAUAAGACCAAAGCUGAAAGUGACAGGGUAGAUAAAAGGCAUCCUUUAGAGACGA